CUUGGAGCCAUCACAAAGUCUCACCCGUUUUCACCAAGCGCUAGGGUUUGCACAGCCGCCGCCGUUCAACGACUGCCGUUUUCUUUCUGAGAGUGCUGCUUGCAAUCAAACAAGAGAAUACGUUGGGGAGUUUCUGAAGAGAUGUGAGAAGUUCAAGCUUUCAAAAACUACGUUGCUAAAUAUCAUUAACUUGAGGUCAUCCAGCCAACCUCUGAUUUACUCGCUGCAGUAUUGAAGAAAAACUUUCUUCUUUGGGAUCAUCAUGGAUCUUGGUUGACCAUCAGCUUCAAAGCACAGCUGCAAGAGAAUCAAUUGAAGGGGGUACAACAGAGAACAAACAAUCUCUGCUACAUGUAAUGUACUUCUUUUGUGAAAAUUAUGUGUAUAUAUUCUUGUUUCCUUCUGCUACAAGCAGGGAAGAGAAUGCCAUGCUUUCUCUUCUAACCCAAGAGCAAAAUCCAGUCUUGUGUAGUGUGUAAGUCAAGCAAAACUUCACAGAAAUUGAUGUAUUUGAUUUUUUUUAUUCAAA
Dioscorea cayenensis subsp. rotundata (Guinea yam) is the source of this 529-nucleotide long non-coding RNA. RefSeq lists it as uncharacterized. NCBI's taxonomy places the organism in Eukaryota, Viridiplantae, Streptophyta, Magnoliopsida, Dioscoreales, Dioscoreaceae. The record is from RefSeq and is a predicted model, not a curated record. The transcript has 4 exons.